CGAACGCUGGCGGCGUGCUUAACACAUGCAAGUCGAACGCGAAAGGGACUUCGGUCCUGAGUAAAGUGGCGCACGGGUGAGUAACGCGUAGAUAACCUGUCUUAUGUCUGGAAUAAUAACGCCGAAAGGGGUACUAAUACCGGAUAUUUUUGCAUUGCAUAAGCAGUGUAAGCAAAGGUGGCCUCUGACAUAAGCUACUGCAUAAAGAGGGGUCUGCGUACCAUUAGCUAGUAGGUGGGGUAAAGGCCUACCUAGGCUACGAUGGUUAGCGGGUCUGAGAGGAUGAUCCGCCACACUGGCACUGGAACACGGGCCAGACUCCUACGGGAGGCAGCAGUGAGGAAUAUUGCGCAAUGGGGGCAACCCUGACGCAGCGACGCCGCGUGAGUGAGGAAGGCCUUCGGGUCGUAAAGCUCUGUCAAAGGGAAAGAAGUGCAUGGUGGUUAAUACCUGCCAUGUUUGACGGUACCCUUAAAGGAAGCACCGGCUAACUCCGUGCCAGCAGCCGC
RNAcentral lists this ribosomal RNA (509 nucleotides) under uncultured bacterium. RNAcentral's name for it is "bacterial SSU rRNA". It matches the Rfam family "Bacterial small subunit ribosomal RNA", at positions 30 to 518 of the family's 1533-position model. The record is from RNAcentral.